RNAcentral lists this ribosomal RNA (342 nucleotides) under Triticum aestivum (bread wheat). RNAcentral describes it as "partial small subunit ribosomal RNA". Lineage: Eukaryota; Viridiplantae; Streptophyta; Magnoliopsida; Poales; Poaceae. The record is from RNAcentral.
AUGUAUCUAGCACUGUUUUUGCAAGAACUUUCUGGUGAUGAAGGAGGUUUUGACAAAGCUCUUUUGAAGUUCUAUAUGAAUCAAGUGUGUUUUUCUUUCUUUGUAGUAGUUGAUUUUGUUUUUGGUUAUUUUGUUUUUUUUUUUAGGUUGACCAGUGUCUUUUUGUUUUUUCAGAAAGUAAAAUGCUUGAAUAGGAAAUUAUCAUCUGCUGGGAGAAGGAAUGUGGAACCUCGUAAUGUCUUCUUCGUCGAGGAAUCCAUUGUCUCCGUCUUGUACAUGCGAGUCAUCUGGUUCUUUCCAUUCUCCUUCAUUAUUGUGGUAUGUUUCUUGAAUUUGUUUUAG